CCUACGGGUGGCAGCAGUGGGGAAUAUUUGGCAAUGGGCGCAAGCCUGACCCAGCAACGCCGCGUGAAGGAAGAAGGCUUUCGGGUUGUAAACUUCUUUUGACAGGGAAGCGUAGAAGACGGUACCUGUCGAAUAAGCCACGGCUAACUACGUGCCAGCAGCCGCGGUAAUACGUAGGUGGCAAGCGUUGUCCGGAUUUACUGGGGGUAAAGGGCGUGUAUCCGGGUGGACAAGUCAGAUGUGAAAUCUUGCGGCUUAACCGCCGAACUGCAUUUGAACAUGUUUGUCUUGAGUACCGGAGAGGUCAUCGGAAUUCCUGGGGUAGCAGUGAAAUGCGUAGAUAUAAGGAAGAACACCAGUGGCGAAGGCGGAUGACUGGACGGCAACUGACGGUGAGGCGCGAAAGCGUGGGGAGCAAACAGGAUUAGAUACCCCUGUAGUC
RNAcentral lists this ribosomal RNA (442 nucleotides) under uncultured bacterium. RNAcentral's name for it is "partial 16S ribosomal RNA". It matches the Rfam family "Bacterial small subunit ribosomal RNA", at positions 338 to 795 of the family's 1533-position model. The record is from RNAcentral.